AAACCAACAGGGAUUGCCUCAGUAACGGCGAGUGAAGCGGCAAAAGCUCAAAUUUGAAAUCUAGCACUUUCAGUGUUCGAGUUGUAAUUUGAAGAAGGUAACUUUGGUUUUGGCUCUUGUCUAUGUUCCUUGGAACAGGACGUCACAGAGGGUGAGAAUCCCGUGCGAUGAGAUGCCCAAUUCCAUGUAAAGUGCUUUCGAAGAGUCGAGUUGUUUGGGAAUGCAGCUCUAAGUGGGUGGUAAAUUCCAUCUAAAGCUAAAUAUUGGCGAGAGACCGAUAGCGAACAAGUACAGUGAUGGAAAGAUGAAAAGAACUUUGAAAAGAGAGUGAAAAAGUACGUGAAAUUGUUGAAAGGGAAGGGCUUGAGAUCAGACUUGGUAUUUUGCGUUCCCUUCCUUUUUGGUUGGGUUCCUCGCAGUUUACUGGGCCAGCAUCGGUUUGGAUGGUAGGAUAAUGACAUUGGAAUGUAGCUUUACUUCGGUGAAGUGUUAUAGACUUUGUUGAUACUGCCUAUCUAGACCGAGGACUGCGUCUUUGACUAGGAUGCUGGCGUAAUGAUCUUAAGCCGCCCGUCU
This 576-nucleotide ribosomal RNA is filed under the name Dujonia zeylanoides. RNAcentral describes it as "[Candida] zeylanoides partial large subunit ribosomal RNA". It matches the Rfam family "Eukaryotic large subunit ribosomal RNA", at positions 62 to 654 of the family's 3401-position model. The record is from RNAcentral. Lineage: Eukaryota; Fungi; Ascomycota; Pichiomycetes; Serinales; Debaryomycetaceae.